Molecule: transfer RNA, 81 nt
Filed under: Aeromonas phage phiAS5
Lineage: Duplodnaviria; Heunggongvirae; Uroviricota; Caudoviricetes; Pantevenvirales; Straboviridae
Rfam family: tRNA
About the family: Transfer RNA (tRNA) molecules are approximately 80 nucleotides in length. Their secondary structure includes four short double-helical elements and three loops (D, anti-codon, and T loops).
Source: Rfam by way of RNAcentral
GUGGGUAUGGCGUAAUUGGUAGCCGCAGGAGACUUAAAAUCUCCCGCUUCUGGCGUGUGGGUUCGAGUCCCACUACCCGCA